RNAcentral lists this ribosomal RNA (253 nucleotides) under uncultured prokaryote. RNAcentral's name for it is "partial 16S ribosomal RNA". It matches the Rfam family "Bacterial small subunit ribosomal RNA", at positions 525 to 777 of the family's 1533-position model. The record is from RNAcentral.
ACGAAGGGUGCAAGCGUUACUCGGAAUUACUGGGCGUAAAGCGUGCGUAGGUGGUUUGUUAAGUCUGAUGUGAAAGCCCUGGGCUCAACCUGGGAACGGCAUUGGAUACUGGCUUACUAGAGUGCGGUAGAGGGUAGUGGAAUUCCCGGUGUAGCAGUGAAAUUCGUAGAUAUGGGGAGGAACACCGGUGGCGAAGGCGGCCAUCUGGACGGAUACUGACGCUGAGACGCGAAAGCGUGGGUAGCAAACAGGA